AUACGUAAGGUGCAAACGUUGUUCGGAAUCACUGGGCGUAAAGGGUACGCAGGCGGCUAGAUAAGUUAGUGGUGAAAACUUGAUGCUUAACAUCAAGCCUGCCAUUAAAACUGUCUGGCUAGAGUUGUAAUAGGGGUGGCAGGAAUUCCUGGUGUAGGAGUGAAAUCUGUAGAUAUCAGGAGGAACACCAAUAGCGAAGGCAAGCCACUGCGUGACAACUGACGCUCAUGUACGAAAGCUAGGGGAGCAAAUGGGAUUAGAUACCCCAGUAGUCC
Molecule: ribosomal RNA, 275 nt
Filed under: uncultured bacterium
Lineage: Bacteria
Description: partial 16S ribosomal RNA
Rfam family: Bacterial small subunit ribosomal RNA
Source: RNAcentral